GACGAACGCUGGCGGCGCGCCUAACACAUGCCAGUCGAACGAGCGAGAGAGAGCUUGCUUUCUUGAGCGAGUGGCGAACGGGUGAGUAACGCGUGAGGAACCUGCCUCAAAGAGGGGGACAACAGUUGGAAACGACUGCUAAUACCGCAUAAGCCCACGGUGCCGCAUGGCACAGAGGGAAAAGGAGCAAUCCGCUUUGAGAUGGCCUCGCGUCCGAUUAGCUAGUUGGUGAGGUAACGGCCCACCAAGGCGACGAUCGGUAGCCGGACUGAGUGGUGGAACCGGCACAUUGGGAAUGGGGCACGGCCCAGACUCCUACGGGAGGGAGGAGGGGGGGAUAUUGGAAAAUGGGGGGAACCCUGAUGGAGGGGCGGCGGGGUGAGGAAGAAGGUCUUCGGGUUGUAAACACCUGUUGUAGGGGAAGAUAAUGACGGUACUAAACAAAGAAGGGACGGCUAACUACGUG
This 466-nucleotide ribosomal RNA is filed under the name uncultured bacterium. Its description in RNAcentral is "partial 16S ribosomal RNA". It matches the Rfam family "Bacterial small subunit ribosomal RNA", at positions 28 to 507 of the family's 1533-position model. The record is from RNAcentral.